Non-coding RNA from Dipodomys ordii (Ord's kangaroo rat), 71 nucleotides. Lineage: Eukaryota; Metazoa; Chordata; Mammalia; Rodentia; Heteromyidae. The record is from Rfam.
GGAGGUGGCUCAGCGGUAGAGUGCUUGCCUUGCAUGCAUGAGGUCCUGGGUUCGAUUCCCCAGCACAUCUG